Long non-coding RNA from Girardinichthys multiradiatus, 465 nucleotides. RefSeq lists it as uncharacterized. The transcript has 3 exons. NCBI's taxonomy places the organism in Eukaryota, Metazoa, Chordata, Actinopteri, Cyprinodontiformes, Goodeidae. The record is from RefSeq and is a predicted model, not a curated record.
CCACAGACAGGUGCAUGACCUUGAAAGAACAAGAGCAACACACUGAAUUGGUCUUGCAGGUGGCACCGUCGGAUCUGCAAGCUUUUGUCACCUUAAAAUCUAUGAGAUCCUGUCACCUGAAUCUGUUUCCCUGGCUCUGACCCAAUGUUUUCCCUCUGACCACCGCACUUUGUUCAUUUGGGUUACAAACCUGAGAGCCCAAGUGACGUUAUCCUGCUGUCACCUAACCACCGCACUGAGGAGCCGAAAUUCGCCGUCCAUACUCUCCCACGGAUUCUGAAAAGCUGAAAUUUCCAGUCCUCAGAACCUCCUGCUACAACUGUCCGAGCUACCGCACCCUGUUGGGGGACAAACUCCUCGGAUCUCCCCAGAAGAGUCACCUCUACUUACAAUCACUUUCUCUUAAAAGGAAUGACUCAAACUGUUCUGUACUCUCACACUUUUAUUCUAAAUAAGACAGAGUAA